GAUAUAAGAGACUGUCAAUCUAGCCAAGGAGCUUGCCUAUGAACCAUGCAAAUGGCUUUGAGAACAUGGUAGAGCUGAUGAGCUCUUGAGGCCCUUGUAAUGAGACAUAGGCAAGUCAUCCUUGGCUACCAAACAGACUCUUAAUU
Nelumbo nucifera (sacred lotus) is the source of this 146-nucleotide non-coding RNA. The record is from Rfam. NCBI's taxonomy places the organism in Eukaryota, Viridiplantae, Streptophyta, Magnoliopsida, Proteales, Nelumbonaceae.